CCUACGGGAGGCAGCAGUAAGGAAUAUUGCUCAAUGGUGGAGACCCUGAAGCAGCAACGCCGCGUGGGGGAUGAAGGUAUUCAGAUUGUAAACUCCUUUUGUUAGAGAAGAUAAUGACGGUAUCUAACGAAUAAGCACCGGCUAACUCCGUGACAGCAGCCGCGGUAAUACGGAGGGUGCAAGCGUUACUCGGAAUCACUGGGCGUAAAGAGCGCGUAGGCGGGAUAGCAAGUCAGCUGUGAAAUCCUAGGGCUUAACCAUAGAACUGCAGUUGAAACUGUUAGUCUAGAGUAGGGGAGAGGUAUGUGGAAUGCUUGGUGUAGGGGUAAAAUCCGUAGAGAUCAAGAGGAAUACUCAUUGCGAAGGCGACCUGCUAGAACAUAACUGACGCUGAGGCGCGAAAGCGUGGGGAGCAAACAGGAUUAGAUACCCCGGUAGUC
This 440-nucleotide ribosomal RNA is filed under the name uncultured bacterium. RNAcentral describes it as "partial 16S ribosomal RNA". It matches the Rfam family "Bacterial small subunit ribosomal RNA", at positions 338 to 795 of the family's 1533-position model. The record is from RNAcentral.